This 407-nucleotide ribosomal RNA is filed under the name uncultured bacterium. RNAcentral describes it as "partial 16S ribosomal RNA". It matches the Rfam family "Bacterial small subunit ribosomal RNA", at positions 30 to 526 of the family's 1533-position model. The record is from RNAcentral.
AUUGAACGCUGGCGGCAGGCCUAACACAUGCAAGUCGAGCGGAGCGGCGGACGGGUGAGUGAUGCCUAGGUAUCUGCCUGGCAGUGGGGGAUAGCGUCCGGUAACGGGCGCUAUUACCGCAUCCUCUCAGAUGAGCCUAGGCGGGAUUAGUUAGUUGGUGGGGUAAAGGCCUACCAAGGCGACGAUCCGUAACUGGUCUGAGAGGAUGACCAGUCACACUGGAACUGAGACACGGUCCAGACUCCUACGGGAGGCAGCAGUGGGGAAUAUUGGACAAUGGGCGAAAGCCUGAUCCAGCAAUGCCGCGUGUGUGAAGAAGGUUUUCGGAUUGUAAAGCACUUUAAGUUGGGAGGCGUUACCAACAGAAUAAGCACCGGCUAACUACGUGCCAGCCGCCGCGGUAAUAC